AUCAUCUUCAGUAGACUGACAUUUGCAGAAGGACUUUAAAUCAGAGUUACAAGAGGAAAGUAAGAAAUGAGUAGAAAUGAAAGACCAAUAAGAAGAUGAAUACAUUUAACAUCCUAAGAACUGUUAAGUCACUGCUUCCAGUCAUUAAUUUGGUGCAAGUAGAACCAGAAUGUCCAUGAAGCUCCAGAGGGACCCUGGUGUUUCUGCGGUGAAAAAGUAACAUCAGAAUGCAGUCAAGAAAACAAAAGUUACUAAUGAGGAAGAAUAGAUAAGUAACCUUGGCUUUGAAAUUGCACUACUGCUAGCUUUAUUACGGACUUCCACGAAUGAGAGUAAUGAGAUUGGGAAAAGAGGAGCCCAGAGAAGGAGUGUCUGCCUUUAGAGCGAUGCCUUGUAUCUCCUCUGUGUGUGGCUGUGCUAGAGGCAAGAGGAGGUGAUCCUGUGUAAUGGGGGAAUCAAGGCAUCCUGACAGAUAGCCAGCCAGCUGGAGGAGGAGGAGCCACUCCCAUGCAGCAUAUUCCACUGUCAAACAUCUCUUACUCUCAGGAAUUUUUUUCUCAAUGUUUAGAUGAAAGCUCUUUUCUUAUAGCCUGAUCUAACACCAAACAACUUAUAAGGAAAAUCAGGUAAAUUUUUGAAUUCUGGGAGUUGUUCAUGGAUGGAUCGUCACAUUUUCUUAUUUAGAAUCCCAACAAUGAAUACCUUGUCCCAGUCAGUCCAGACUACAUUUCCUGCACUAUAUUCUUUCUGAAAUGAGUCCAAAAAUUAAAAUAAGAAUGUAAGGGAAGAGAGGGGACAGAUGGCAUGAUUUAAAGACUGACAGAUCAUGUUCAGCAAACAAAUACGCAAGUCAGGCUAGGUCCUCCUCCAUGUAAAAAUAAAUGUAACCAGUGCUAUUUUUGUUUGUAGUGCAUUGAGGAAAAAAGAGGGAGUAUCCUGAAAAGACAGCCCUACAGUAAUCUAGGACCUCAUCAGACGGAAGUCCUCAAGCCGGGGGAAAGUGGGAGCAUCUGUGGGACAGCUGGACAAAUCCAAUGGGCAGCGUGGGAACCCGUCACCCUGCACCCCACAUUGCCCACAUUGCCAUCCCAUGGGAGAAAGCAUCACUGCCCAGCUUCCCUCCAUACUUUUCCCGAUUUACUGGAUGAGAACACGAAAGCCUCCAUGUUCUCAGGACUCCCUCCUACAACACUUACAGGAUGAAGCCAGGGCAGAGCCCCACCAGAAGUAGCCCUGUGGCAUGUUGUGGGCUCUGGUGGACUCAGUCCUGCAAGUGUCAUAGGACAGGGUCAAAGACUAAUGUAAUGAGGUCCCUAGAGAGGAAAUGUGCAACGAUGCAGCAUGAAACAGUAGAGAAGCAGAAACACAAGUAUAUUUGGACCAUUUGGA
Anolis carolinensis (green anole) is the source of this 1389-nucleotide long non-coding RNA. RefSeq lists it as uncharacterized. NCBI's taxonomy places the organism in Eukaryota, Metazoa, Chordata, Lepidosauria, Squamata, Anolidae. The transcript is spliced from 5 exons. The record is from RefSeq and is a predicted model, not a curated record.